RNAcentral lists this ribosomal RNA (416 nucleotides) under uncultured Hyphomicrobiales bacterium. RNAcentral describes it as "bacterial SSU rRNA". It matches the Rfam family "Bacterial small subunit ribosomal RNA", at positions 349 to 782 of the family's 1533-position model. The record is from RNAcentral. Lineage: Bacteria; Pseudomonadati; Pseudomonadota; Alphaproteobacteria; Hyphomicrobiales.
CAGCAGUGGGGAAUCUUGGACAAUGGGCGCAAGCCUGAUCCAGCCAUGCCGCGUGGAUGAUGAAGGCCCUAGGGUUGUAAAAUCCUUUCGUUGGGGACGAUAAUGACGGUACCCAAAGAAGAAGCUCCGGCUAACUUCGUGCCAGCAGCCGCGGUAAUACGAAGGGGGCUAGCGUUGUUCGGAUUUACUGGGCGUAAAGCGCGUGUAGGCGGGCUGGAAAGUUGGGGGUGAAAUCCCGAGGCUCAACCUCGGAACUGCCUCCAAAACUUCCAGCCUGGACUCAAGCAGAGGCAAGUGGAAUUGCGAGUGUAGAGGUGAAAUUCGUAGAUAUUCGCAGGAACACCAGUGGCGAAGGCGACUUGCUGGGCUUGUAGUGACGCUGAGACGCGAAAGCGUGGGGAGCAAACAGGAUUAGA